Molecule: small RNA, 179 nt
Filed under: Streptomyces albus
Lineage: Bacteria; Bacillati; Actinomycetota; Actinomycetes; Kitasatosporales; Streptomycetaceae
Description: c-di-AMP sequence
Rfam family: c-di-AMP riboswitch aptamer (ydaO/yuaA leader)
About the family: This family represents a conserved RNA structure found upstream of the ydaO and yuaA genes in Bacillus subtilis and related genes in other bacteria. The ydaO/yuaA element is thought to act as a genetic "off" switch for the ydaO and yuaA genes in its native state.
Source: RNAcentral
GGAGAAACCACGACGCAUCACGGCGGGAGCGGGGGAACCAGGUAAGUGCCGGACCGGGCAUUCGUGCGGCCGGCUUGGGGUGAAGACGCGUUGCAGCGAAGGUGAUUGCUGCUCAGGACGCGGCCGGGCAACUCCAGCCCGAACCCGACAGCUCACCUCGCAGGCGUAGGAGAGGAACA